RNAcentral lists this ribosomal RNA (468 nucleotides) under uncultured bacterium. RNAcentral describes it as "partial 16S ribosomal RNA". It matches the Rfam family "Bacterial small subunit ribosomal RNA", at positions 28 to 507 of the family's 1533-position model. The record is from RNAcentral.
GACGAACGCUGGCGGCGUGCUUAACACAUGCAAGUCGAACGGAAAGGCCCUACUUUUGUGGGGUUCUCGAGUGGCGAACGGGUGAGUAACACGUGAGUAACCUGCCCUUGACUUUGGGAUAACUUCACGUAACUGGGGCUACUACCGUAUAGGAUCUCCUGCUCCAUGGUGGGGGUUGGAUCGUUUCGGCUGUUGGGGUUGGACUCGCGGCUUAUCAGCUUGUUGGUGGGGUAGUGGCUUACCAAGGCUUUGACGGGUAGCCGGCAUGAGAGGGUGACCGGCCACAUUGGGACUGAGAUACGGCCCAGACUCGUACGGGAGGCAGCAGUGGGGAAUAUGGCACAGUGGGAGGAAGCGUGAUGAAGAAACGCCGCGUGCGGGAUGACGGCCUGCGGGUUGUAAACAGCUUUAGCCUGUGACGAAGCGGGAGUGACGGUAAUGGAUAAAGAAGCACCGGCUAACUACGUG